GUCAACUAACCCCCACUUGAAGAAGUGGUAGCUUGGAGAAGAAAUUCUUUGAAGCCCUAGUUGACUAGCCUAAGUAGCGAAAAAAAUACUACGUUGGAUUGCAUGUAGAAACCCAAGAAUGAUGCUCUAGUUUUUGGCUCUUUCGUGGCUCUGUAAAAGUUCUGAGGGUAAGGAACGGUCAACCACAUUGCGAAGGCUUUCCAACAUUGGCGAAGGGCAAAUAAA
Non-coding RNA from Clostridium magnum DSM 2767, 225 nucleotides. It matches the Rfam family "HNH endonuclease-associated RNA and ORF (HEARO) RNA". NCBI's taxonomy places the organism in Bacteria, Bacillati, Bacillota, Clostridia, Eubacteriales, Clostridiaceae. The record is from Rfam.